UUUACUUUUAACGGGAAACGCGGUUAUUGCCAUCAGAAGACUUUGGUUGGCUAAGGAGAAAAGGUGUUUGUUGGCAUACCAUUUCUGGACGUGGGAAAGAGUCCAUAGAAUGCUAUGCCUUGAUAGCAACAAAGCCAACUAGCAGAGCCGAUUCGGGGAUCGGUGGGAUGCCGUAGCUUUAAGAGAUAGGGGCGGAGGCAAUCGGAAAGG
RNAcentral lists this long non-coding RNA (210 nucleotides) under Nicotiana benthamiana. Its description in RNAcentral is "long non-coding RNA (NBEN_LNC031021)". The record is from RNAcentral. Lineage: Eukaryota; Viridiplantae; Streptophyta; Magnoliopsida; Solanales; Solanaceae.